AUCUGAUCUGCCUAGCUACGCAAAAUGUGAAAAGGUCCUUUGCCUGAAAGGGUCUUUCCUUUCCGAGCCUGGAGAGCUGCGGAAUCGUCUCUUCUACCUUAGUAGUACAUUUAUUACCGCGAACAAACUGUUAAAUUGAAAUUUUAUUUGAUUUCAGGCUCCAAUGUAAAAUACACGUUUGACUGAAAGAGAUUUCAUAUUUUUACCAAGACAGGAUACACAGACAAGUAGGACGCAAGUCUAAAAUUUUUGCCAUAAUCUGGGAAGGUAACUCAGCGGAGAAAGCACUUGCUAUGAAACCAUGAGGACUGGAGUUCAGAUAUCCAGAAUCCAAGUAAAAACCAGGCAGGCACAGUGGCCUACCUGUAAUCCCAAGGCUAAGGAAGCAGGGACAAAGAAUCCUGGACUAUCUAGACCAGCUGGAUCAGUGAGCUCUGGGUUCAAGAGAGAGACCCUGUCCCAAUGUCUAUAGAAGAGCAGAAUUGAGGAGGGUUCUCAACACCAACCUCUGGUCCCCAUGUGCACCUGCAG
This 531-nucleotide long non-coding RNA is filed under the name Cricetulus griseus (Chinese hamster). Its description in RNAcentral is "lncRNA (ENSCGRG00015031837.1)". The record is from RNAcentral. Lineage: Eukaryota; Metazoa; Chordata; Mammalia; Rodentia; Cricetidae.